GCUGCGGUGGUGGAAUUGGUAGACACGCCAUCUUGAGGGGGUGGUGCCUUAGGGUGUGAGAGUUCGAAUCUCUUUCGCAGCA
This 82-nucleotide transfer RNA is filed under the name Bacteroidota bacterium. RNAcentral's name for it is "Bacteroidetes bacterium (freshwater metagenome) tRNA-Leu". It matches the Rfam family "tRNA". Rfam says of the family: Transfer RNA (tRNA) molecules are approximately 80 nucleotides in length. Their secondary structure includes four short double-helical elements and three loops (D, anti-codon, and T loops). The record is from RNAcentral. Lineage: Bacteria; Pseudomonadati; Bacteroidota.